UACAGAGGGUGCGAGCGUUGUCCGGAAUCACUGGGCGUAAAGGGCGCGUAGGUGGCGACCCAAGUCGAUGGUGAAAGCUCGCCGCUCAACGGCGAGUCGGCCACCGAUACUGGGUUGCUGGAGCACUGUAGAGGCUCAUGGAAUUCCGGGUGUAGCGGUGGAAUGCGUAGAGAGUCCGGGAAGAACACCGGUGGCGAAGG
Molecule: ribosomal RNA, 200 nt
Filed under: uncultured bacterium
Lineage: Bacteria
Description: partial 16S ribosomal RNA
Rfam family: Bacterial small subunit ribosomal RNA
Source: RNAcentral